GCAGGUGCGAAAGCAGGUCAUAGUGAUCCGGUGGUUCUGAAUGGAAGGGCCAUCGCUCAACGGAUAAAAGGUACUCCGGGGAUAACAGGCUGAUACCGCCCAAGAGUUCAUAUCGACGGCGGUGUUUGGCACCUCGAUGUCGGCUCAUCACAUCCUGGGGCUGAAGUAGGUCCCAAGGGUAUGGCUGUUCGCCAUUUAAAGUGGUACGCGAGCUGGGUUUAGAACGUCGUGAGACAGUUCGGUCCCUAUCUGCCGUGGGCGCUGGAGAACUGAGGGGGGCUGCUCCUAGUACGAGAGGACCGGAGUGGACGCAUCACUGGUGUUCGGGUUGUCAUGCCAAUGGCACUGCCCGGUAGCUAAAUGCGGAAGAGAUAAGUGCUGAAAGCAUCUAAGCACGAAACUUGCCCCGAGAUGAGUUCUCCCUGACUCCUUGAGAGUCCUGAAGGAACGUUGAAGACGACGACGUUGAUAGGCCGGGUGUGUAAGCGCAGCGAUGCGUUGAGCUAACCGGUACUAAUGAACCGUGAGGCUUAACCUUACAACGCCGAAGGUGUUU
Molecule: ribosomal RNA, 556 nt
Filed under: Escherichia coli
Lineage: Bacteria; Pseudomonadati; Pseudomonadota; Gammaproteobacteria; Enterobacterales; Enterobacteriaceae
Description: partial 23S ribosomal RNA
Rfam family: Bacterial large subunit ribosomal RNA
Source: RNAcentral